This 495-nucleotide ribosomal RNA is filed under the name uncultured bacterium. Its description in RNAcentral is "partial 16S ribosomal RNA". It matches the Rfam family "Bacterial small subunit ribosomal RNA", at positions 28 to 507 of the family's 1533-position model. The record is from RNAcentral.
GACGAACGCUGGCGGCGUGCCUAAUACAUGCAAGUCGAACGCUGAAGGAGGAGCUUGCUUCUCUGGAUGAGUUGCGAACGGGUGAGUAACGCGUAGGUAACCUACCUGGUAGCGGGGGAUAACUAUUGGAAACGAUAGCUAAUACCGCAUAAGAGUAGAUGUCGCAUGACAUUUGCUUAAAAGGUGCAAUUGCAUCACUACCAGAUGGACCUGCGUUGUAUUAGCUAGUUGGUGAGGUAACGGCUCACCAAGGCAACGAUACAUAGCCGACCUGAGAGGGUGAUCGGCCACACUGGGACUGAGACACGGCCCAGACUCCUACGGGAGGCAGCAGUAGGGAAUCUUCGGCAAUGGACGGAAGUCUGACCGAGCAACGCCGCGUGAGUGAAGAAGGUUUUCGGAUCGUAAAGCUCUGUUGUAAGAGAAGAACGAGUGUGAGAGUGGAAAGUUCACACUGUGACGGUAUCUUACCAGAAAGGGACGGCUAACUACGUG